GGUGUAUUAGGUAUUUUUUAAAAAUAAUAGUUGAAAAAUGUAUAUGUACUUACCAAGUUGUAUAUGAAUUAUACAAUAAAAAAUCAAUAUGAGAAACAAUAUGAGGUUAUGUUUAAAUUAAAAUUAUUUAUUAGUAGAUUAAAUUACUUAUAAAUAGUUGAUUCUCCGUAUUAAUAAAUAUUACUGGCACACAAAUGUUAAUGAUAUGAAUAUUAAAUCACACAUUGAUAUUUUAUCAAAAAUAUUUUAUUAAAAAAAAAUUAUAAAUAUAA
Molecule: long non-coding RNA, 272 nt
Organism: Bombus huntii
Lineage: Eukaryota; Metazoa; Arthropoda; Insecta; Hymenoptera; Apidae
Exons: 2
Source: RefSeq, a predicted model, not a curated record